This 73-nucleotide transfer RNA is filed under the name Ovis aries (sheep). It matches the Rfam family "tRNA". Rfam says of the family: Transfer RNA (tRNA) molecules are approximately 80 nucleotides in length. Their secondary structure includes four short double-helical elements and three loops (D, anti-codon, and T loops). Further hydrogen bonds mediate the characteristic L-shaped molecular structure. tRNAs have two regions of fundamental functional importance: the anti-codon, which is responsible for specific mRNA codon recognition, and the 3' end, to which the tRNAs corresponding amino acid is attached (by aminoacyl-tRNA synthetases). tRNAs cope with the degeneracy of the genetic code in two manners: having more than one tRNA (with a specific anti-codon) for a particular amino acid; and 'wobble' base-pairing, i.e. permitting non-standard base-pairing at the 3rd anti-codon position. Lineage: Eukaryota; Metazoa; Chordata; Mammalia; Artiodactyla; Bovidae. The record is from Rfam by way of RNAcentral.
UCCCUGGUGGUCCACUGGUUAAGACUCAGCACUUUCACUGCCAGGGGCCCGGGUUCGAUUCCUGGUUGGGGAA